Trichechus manatus latirostris (Florida manatee) is the source of this 441-nucleotide long non-coding RNA. RefSeq lists it as uncharacterized. The record is from RefSeq and is a predicted model, not a curated record. The transcript has 3 exons. NCBI's taxonomy places the organism in Eukaryota, Metazoa, Chordata, Mammalia, Sirenia, Trichechidae.
GACUAAGUAGGAGUCGCAUGAAGUUGGGGAAAGCCUUAAAGACUGUGAGGAAGCAGAUUUGAAUUCCUUUUGGAAGGGAGGAUCCAGAGACGAUUGCUGGGUUCACUGAUUGCUCCCUUGCUAUUUGCAACUGUCUUCUUGUCUCUCCUUUGCAGAGUUGUCUUCUUCAGGAAAGUCUUCUAGCCUUGGUCAGAUCCAAUAGAACAUGAUUAUAGAUGAGGAAAUUGACCUGCCCAGUGGAGGUGUGACUUGAAUCCAGCAGUGUUCCAGCUUUGGUCCUAGAGCAAAGACUGCUUGACAAAGCCACAGCUGAUGCACAAUGGAUAUGCAGUGAGUUCAAGAAAUAAACCUUUGAGGGGUGGGGCCAAGAUGGCAGAGUAGUCAGAUGCUUCUGGUGGACACUCUUACAACAAAGAUCUGAAAAAACAAGUGAAUUGAUUA